Hypanus sabinus (Atlantic stingray) is the source of this 631-nucleotide long non-coding RNA. RefSeq lists it as uncharacterized. The transcript is spliced from 3 exons. Lineage: Eukaryota; Metazoa; Chordata; Chondrichthyes; Myliobatiformes; Dasyatidae. The record is from RefSeq and is a predicted model, not a curated record.
GGUGUCCCUUGACAACCGCCUCGAGCUUCAGCUGUUGCUGUCAGGUCACGGGCCCGGCAUCGCUGGCUUCCCUCUCAGGAGGGACAGCUCCUCGUCUCCGGUGAGGAAGCAUCCAUAAGUAAGAGGGAUCAAACUGAGCGAGGGCUCAUCCUUGGUCGGGCAAGAGUACGCAAAAACUCGGAUGAUGAUGAAAGGGUGAGGUAUACCAGUUACUUGAGUCGUCGCAGCAAAAACCUUGCACUCAUCAUCAGCAAGACCAAAGAGCUGAUUGUGGACUUCAGAAAGGGUGUUGAUCUGGCCUUGACCGAAGAGUCAGCGAAUGUUGGGAAUUCUUGUCCUUUUAAGAAUAAGGCAGCACGUAAUGUGGUGGUUCACGCAAUGCUAUUACAGUACCAGCAAUCAGGGUUGAAUUCCCAUCAUUGUGUGUAAGGAGUUUGUACAUUCUACCCAUGAUCGCAUGGAUUCCUCUGCGUGGCCCAGUUCCCUUAUCAUUCCAAAAAUGUACAUGUUUAGCUUAUUAAGUUGUGGGGAUGCUGUGUUGGUGCCGGAAGCAUGGCGCCACUUGUAGAUUCUGCAUUUCACUGUAUGUUUCAAUGUUUAUGUUACAAAUAAAGCUAAUCUUGAUCUUUAA